GUAAUAAUUAAGCUAAAUACUGCAAUUUGAUGUGCAUAAUAUACUUAAUUUUGCAUUCAACUAGAAUGUAUUUUAUAACACUACAAUAAACUUCAACUAAACUUAGCGGACUUUUAACUGCAUUAUUAAAUAAUACUAUAACAAUACUAUACCGACAAUCUGUAUGUUUUCACUUUCCAUUUCGGAACUCCAAACUAUUCCACUUUUCAUUCCCCAGCAAUUCAACUUCAUUGAUAAGUGCUUAUUUAGUUAUUAUCGUAUUAAUUACACCAUCAAACGAACCCCGAUCCCACUCUACUAGUAUAUGAUUCAAUCCUCCGGCGGACUUUGUCCCUCCUCGUCGCGUACUAAACAAUAGCUGAUUGAUAUAGUAAGUAAUGUAUUGUUUUGUAUUUUCCUAAGCUAAUAAUGGAGAACGGAGCAAAGUGUAACAAAUGUAGAAAACGUCAUGACUUUAUCAAGUGCCACUGGUGACCAAUGAUCACCCAGCUGGCUGGGCAUGAACUUUGGUCUAAGCUGGUUCCGGGGAUUGAAAGAGUAGCGAGUAACAAGCCCGAUGACAUGGAGAAGUGCGAUCCGGCACUAUAAAUAACAAUUUACAUAAGUGCUCGAUAAGUUUAAAUAUUGACCACAUCCACAAUCUGCACGCCCUCGUACACCAAGCAAACGAUAAGAUUGCGAUUUAUGAUCGUUCGCGCCAUAUAAAAGCUAUAGGAAAUCGUAAAUAAGACGCAUGUAAACUCAUCAUCACUCCUUCGGACUACAAAAUCAAGGCAGUCGCUCGAUUUCCUUGUUUCACCUAAUCGUACUCGGAAUACUUGGAUUAUUUGCUGGUAUCAUACCACUAAGCUGGUCAAAAUUUAGACGCUUCUAUUUGAUACCACUUAUCAUGCGAAAGCAAUGCCCAUUUAUUUGUAGCUCAACGACUCCCAAACACAAAGAUAGUCUAUCCAAGCAAAGUCCAACUUGCGGAGGCUUCUUGAAAGGUCUUUUCGUGGGUGAUUUCGUCCAGUUUUGGUGCCAUAAAUCUUCGUAGCGCCCGCAUCCCGACAACUGAUAACCAUGGGUAAUGCGCGUGCCUCGGAGCGAUUAGGCAUGAUCUUUGGCAAAAUCUCAGGAAUCUCAUCGGAAGUGGUUUAUUCCGCUGUUUUGAUGAUACGCCAAUUGUUACUCUUUUCAUGGUUUGUCUGUUUUUCAAUUCUAUCAAUUGAUUGAUUACAUUUUUGAACACCCUUUUCGGGGUUUUUAGAAAUAAGUAAGCCACUAAGAAAAUAGCUAAAGUGAAGCCAUAAUAAAGAUUUCAAAAUUACUACCUAUGAUUCUUUCAGAGGAAGUUUUCUACUUUUAGGUGAGAAAACCACUACAUGAUUGGGGUGCUAUAACUUUUAAAUAGCUAGUCUUAUACUCCCGAAAGUAUUACGAAAAUGUGAAGAUCCACCUAAAUAUUUACCAGAAAAUGAUCUCCAUUUAAGCCGAUUCACUUUACCAAACUGGAAAAUUCUCCGAUGAAUGCUAAACACAUUUCUCACACACCUGAAAUUUUGCUCAACCGGAUCGUUGGCCAUAAUGGCAGCGGUUCAGCAAGAUACAGGCGCGAAUGAAAUGUGUUGCCAAAGGACUUUGGUGUCAACGAGGACGAAAUGAAUCACCAUGUACCACCACUGAAUCAGCACUUGGUCACUGAAACCGGGACCGCAACUUUUCCUGGCCACGCUCGGAUUCGAACUGAUGGCCAGAAGUCAGCGCCAGUCUGUAGGUAGCCACUUGUGAUCAACCCGGACCCGGGCGACCCAUCUAUGUGAAAGCGCAUUAGAACUGGGGAAUCGACUCGACGCGGAACAAAAGGAAGCGCUGACAAUGCCGGCUGCCUGGUUGGCUGAGUGCCUCGGUUGGGGUUGGCCGGUUGGACUGUUGGACAGACGGACCGGACCGGCUGACUGGCUGAAUGGGUGGGUGGGUCACUAGAACCACUUGCAACAGCGGCGCAUGCUUUCUAAACGCCACCAUUAUCUAGUCGCUGUUGCCGUUGUUGUUGUUGUUGUUGUGGGACGCACCUUACUAAUACUUACUAAUACAAAUAGCCAAGUGGAAGCGGAGCGACAGCUGACACCAUCGGCGAACGCGCCUUUUUAACGAGCGAGCGACCAGCUCGACCCCACCUAGUAUUACACGGAGUGAUUACAUAGCGCCCAGAUGGAAUUGGAUUUGGAAUCGG
Drosophila melanogaster (fruit fly) is the source of this 2215-nucleotide non-coding RNA. NCBI's taxonomy places the organism in Eukaryota, Metazoa, Arthropoda, Insecta, Diptera, Drosophilidae. The record is from Ensembl.